GUUAUGAACCAAGGUGACUUGACUCCAGAGUUACAACCCCACUAAUGAGAAGUGAUUUUUGGCCACGUUGAAGUCAUGACCGGUUUCUCUGGGAAGUCAACAGAAGUUUGGCAGGUGCGUGAGCUCUGCAGGGCAGAGAGCAAGAGGAGAGGUGAGCUCAGAAGGUAAUUGUAAAAUUUGGACACCUCUCUGCAGCUUUAAUGACUCAAACCUAAAAUAGUACUCAGGGAAAGACAGAGUUUGGAAGAAUUUUGAAUUGGGAGUUGGCUAUUUUGGUUGUUUUCUUCUGAUCUGGAAACACUGGGGGAGGGGUGGUUCUUCUGCUGAAGUAAACAGGAAUUUGUACACAAAGCAGGACUCACAUAAGAGUAAGGGGAUGUCCUACCAAUGCCCACGAUGACCCACUAACAUCCAGAUUUCUACAGUGGAGUUCCCUGGCCUUUACAUAGCAGUGGGCAAGUCCAUGAGAAACAAUCUGGCAGGUGGAAUAAGGAAAAAUGGAAGCAUGAUGUGGAUUUUAUUUUCUUUGCAUCUCUUUGUUUUGAUCAUACUGCUCUUUAUCAGAAUGACUUUCUCCAAUUUCCUCAGCCCAGCAGUUUGAAUAUUUGCAUGAAGUAGGCACAUAUCACUACAUAUGAACCAUGAAAUGUAUUUGAAAAUAAAUGUUUUAAUUAAAAUUGACAUUUCUGAG
Molecule: long non-coding RNA, 691 nt
Filed under: Pongo abelii (Sumatran orangutan)
Lineage: Eukaryota; Metazoa; Chordata; Mammalia; Primates; Hominidae
Description: lincRNA
Source: RNAcentral